GUCGAUCUUUGUCCUUUAUGUAAACAACCGCCGCGCUGCUGACGCGCGACCGCGACGUCGCGUCGCGCUGCUGACGUCAGCAUGACCAUUUCCCGUGACUCCCGGUUCAAGAUGGUGGACAGGUCUGCACGUCGUCAACCAGCUAAAGCGAUCAUCUAGUGUUUCUAUGUAUCUCUAUGAAGCCAAAUCCCAAAGUAGUAGUAGAAGAAGAAGCACAUGUGAUUGGCGCUUUGCUGAAGGGCUGCUCACGCCAGAAGGGCGACGCGA
Molecule: long non-coding RNA, 267 nt
Organism: Syngnathus acus (greater pipefish)
Lineage: Eukaryota; Metazoa; Chordata; Actinopteri; Syngnathiformes; Syngnathidae
Exons: 3
Source: RefSeq, a predicted model, not a curated record